Molecule: non-coding RNA, 1081 nt
Organism: Nomia melanderi (Alkali bee)
Lineage: Eukaryota; Metazoa; Arthropoda; Insecta; Hymenoptera; Halictidae
Source: RefSeq, a predicted model, not a curated record
GGUGAUUAUUCCCAAAUGUCAGUUGUUUCGUUCCUUCGGAUAAAACGCUGCAGUUGUGCGACGCGCGGUGGUUGAUUCUUGGACAAAAUGGGACAAAAGUAGAAAAAAAUUGCUUAAAAAAUGGGAAAUUUUAAUAUUAAUCGACUGUGCGACGGUAUUCUCGGUAAGCAGCUGAGUCGACGGCGAACGUGUUAAACGGAAUGCUAGAUUUACUGCAUCCUUUACGGUCCGGUUUCGUCGGUCCCGCGGUUUUCGGCGGCAGAAGAAAACGCAAGCCUGCAGUCAUCAUGAGAAACGAAGUAAUAGAAUGUUGUAACAGCGCAGAGCUGAUGUCAUGCGUUAACCUUCUACUUUGCACGUACAAGCUGUUCACAGAAACGCACGCUUACUGCGCCGCUACACAAAACAGCUCGCCGGAGAGUAUUUUUCAGAGCGGUGUCCACCGGUCCGGCGAAAAAAGUUGCGAAGCGGUCGUAAAAUUGCCUAGGAAGUAGACGAAGGAACGUCCAAUGCGAUUGCUUCUUACGUAAUUACGAAUUCCGCGGUCGCGCUGCGGCUGUUACCGUUUCGUUAGGGCCUUAUUCCGACGAGACUUUCGGUGUCUGCUGAUUGAUUUCCGGAAAAUGCGCUGCUACUUGGAAAAAUUCCGAUACUGGGAAAAAUCAGACGAUCCUGAUCUCCCAUCUGGCUGCGGAGCGCGGCAGACACGACAUUGCAGUGGCAUUACAGAUCAUUAUGUAAUGUCAUAACGUUAUGUGAACGUUUUACAUUCGAUGCCUUGCACCAUUGCGGUCUCAAGGUCUCUACAUUGUUGUGUGUACAACGUGUUAACGCAUCGAUGCGAUCCAGGGACGUAUUCGCCGGAGAAAAUCCCAAUGGCGCCUCGUGACUCUACUCAUUGUAUAAUAAUAGUAGCUGGAAAAUGUGCUGCCACUAUUCAGCCGCUGCACCUUUUUCUGUUCUACAACUAAUUUCAUUCUAGCUCGAGUUCACAAUGCUCUACGUGCGGUUUGAGUCUCACCGCGACUUCCGGUUACAUUGCUUCCGUCGGAACCUGACUUUGCUAUUCUAAAUAUUUUAA